UCGCAUAAUGCUAAAAUUUCAUUCAUAAAUGGAAAGCAAGGUUAUCUUGCAUCCACAAAAUGCUACAUAGUAUAAUUUUUAUGAAUAGGUUUUGAUACAACACCUGUGGGCACUCGUUUCCUAUGUUAGAUUCCCAGUUAUAAGAAUUGAUGGCACAUAUAUACCAGCAGCAAAAUAAUGGGCUAGUUUGAUUGUGAUUCAAAACCGAAAGACACCAAUCAACAAGCCAAGCAUAUACAAGCAAUCACCCCCAAUAAUCUUAGUAAAGCCGCUUCCUACACCCAUCCGCGCCACAGAAGCACGGCAUCUGCCUUAUAGUCCCAUCAGGAUCAAGUACACUAUCAAGCUCAUACCCGUAAUCAUAAGUAAGUUCCUAAAAAACAAGACAAAGAAAUUGCAGAAAUAUCAGAAUUAUGCCCAACACCAAUAGUAGUCCUUGUCCUAGUCCUCGAAGAUCAAUGCUCAAGUUUCUUGAUUCAGAAUUAUCAUUACAUGAGCUCAAUUUAGUAAGGAAACAUAUUUGACGUAAAGAUUAGAUAAAUCAAGCUUCCUUUGACCUGGUGUUUCCUAAUUAUAACCAAAUGCAAGCUGACAGCUCCAUGCAUGUUAUUUCCCUUUACAGCAAACUCUCAACUGAAAUUCACGACCAUAUACCAUCACGGUACAAAUGUGCAUAUAGUGGAUCCAUCCAUAGUAUUACACACUUAGGACUCGCUUCUUGGGUUUGAUGGCUUCAGAUUGGAUAUGCUUGACCAUGUAUUUUUUUCCAGUAUCACGUAUUAAUACUAUGUUUCCUUUAAAUAACUCUCUGUUUAAAUAGGUAAUUUAUUGUUUGGUUUGAUGUAUUUAUAGGAAAAAUUAUCUAAAAUAUCUUACACUACCAUUAUACUCUGAUUUUGUCUAAAUGGAAGUUUGCUAUGCACUAUCAAAGGGUAGAUAGAUACCUAUGAUUAUUUAAUAUAACAAAGCCUCUUGAAAGACACAUGCAUGUUUACUAGAGUUUUAAUUAGUAUGUACGGUUAGUAGUUUAGUCUAGUAAUUAGGUUUGUUUUUUUAUUAGUCUAUCUUCUAGAUAUGUAAUCAAACAUAAUGAUAGUGGAAGUCAUUCAAUAAUCAUAGGAAUCUAUCACCCUCCAAUUGUGCAUAUCAAACAUGNAAAAAAAUAAUUAUGAGUCUAUGACCAAAUAAAUAUAAUAAGGACCACCGGUAACUAACAUGAAUAUUGGAGAAAGAACCAAAUGGAAAGCAACUAAAAAGUGACCUGCAUUCCCUCAUUCGCAUAAUGCUAAAAUUUCAUUCAUAAAUGGAAAGCAAGGUUAUCUUGCAUCCACAAAAUGCUACAUAGUAUAAUUUUUAUGAAUAGAUUUUGAUACAACACCUGUGGGCACUCGUUUCCUAUGUUAGAUUCCCAGUUAUAAGAAUUGAUGGCACAUAUAUACCAGCAGCAAAAUAAUGGGCUAGUUUGAUUGUGAUUCAAAACCGAAAGACACCAAUCAACAAGCCAAGCAUAU
This 1511-nucleotide long non-coding RNA is filed under the name Salvia miltiorrhiza (redroot sage). Its description in RNAcentral is "long non-coding RNA (SMIL_LNC006834)". Lineage: Eukaryota; Viridiplantae; Streptophyta; Magnoliopsida; Lamiales; Lamiaceae. The record is from RNAcentral.